This 68-nucleotide transfer RNA is filed under the name Marmota monax (woodchuck). RNAcentral describes it as "tRNA.Val". The record is from RNAcentral. Lineage: Eukaryota; Metazoa; Chordata; Mammalia; Rodentia; Sciuridae.
GGAUUGUGGCUCAGUGGCAGAGUGCUUGCCUCACACGUGUGAGGUACUGGGUUCAAUCCACAGCACCA